Non-coding RNA from Salmo salar (Atlantic salmon), 56 nucleotides. NCBI's taxonomy places the organism in Eukaryota, Metazoa, Chordata, Actinopteri, Salmoniformes, Salmonidae. The record is from Rfam.
UAUAUGCACGCAUGACUAAGUCACUUUGUAUAAAAGUGUCUGCUAAAUGGCAUAUA